Pelobates cultripes (western spadefoot toad) is the source of this 1401-nucleotide non-coding RNA. The record is from the annotation of a GenBank genome assembly. NCBI's taxonomy places the organism in Eukaryota, Metazoa, Chordata, Amphibia, Anura, Pelobatidae.
GUGGAUAUGGGGGUACAGGGAGUGGGAGGACAUACGGAGUGUGGAUAUGGGGGUACAGGGAGUGGGAGGACAUACUGAGUGUGGUUAUGUGAAGACAUAUGGAGUGGAGCAAUUCAAAGUAAAUUUUAGAUUUAAGGGCAAAAAAAAAAGUGGAAUUGGAAACAUUCUUCCCAACUACCUGAUUCCAGAUCGUCUGUUUAAGUCUAAAAUAUGAAAUUCUUCAUUUACACCCUAAAUGUGUUCAUGCAUCGCCAAGACUCUGCUGGGAAUUUCUCUCACCCAAGGAUGUAUUUACCACAAGGAAAACAAGGCAUUUUCCUAGGGAGGCACUUUCAGGAGGGCGCCAAAAAAUGCCACCCCAAGCUCCCAGACAAAUGCCUUGUUUGCCUCAUGUUCUGGGGCUGUCCACCUUACUGUGAGUGAGUGAGUGUGUGUCUGUGAGUGAGAAUGGGUGUGCCUGUGAGUGUGUGUCAGUGUGUGUAUGUCAUUUUAUGUGUAUCUGAGAGUGUGUGCCUGUCAGUGCGUGGGUGUGUCAGUGUGUAUCUGUCAGUGAAAGUGUGUGUUGGUUAAACAGUGUGUGCCAAUGACUGUAUGUUUGUGGCAAUGACUGUGUAUCUGUCAGUGAGUGUAUAUCAGUGCAUAUAUCAAUGAGGGCAUGUGUCUGUCCGUCACAAAAAUGGCCUUAAAACAAAUUGGGGGGGCAAAUUUAGAUUCUGGGGGUGCCCGAAUUUAGUCAUGCCUAGGACAGCACAAAACCCAAAAUACACCACUGCUCUCACCCAGUUUACCCAAUGCCAGACACAGCUCCGUUCAUUAACAGGGUGAUCUGUUCAACUCCACAUUCUCCCAAAUCAACACGCCAAAAAUGGUAAAUCUCAACAGAUUCUCCGCCAAGGGCACAGCAUGGUGUCACGAACGCACCCUACUCCAAGAGUGUGCGUGACAUAGUUGUGGUGGUGAAAGGGUUAAACGUCACCAUUUGUCUGCACUAGACCAGAAAUAAUGACAAAAUCCCACUUAACACCACCCACACUUACACAUAAUAAUAUAACUAUUACCAUUUUAAUGCUGCCACCACCAAGACAAUUUAUAAAUGGGGUGCCUUGGUCACUCAGGUAAAUCAAUAAUAAUAAUAACCCACCAAAUAUUACUUACCGUAAUAUACUCGAGUAUAAGUCGAGUUUUUCAGCACAUUAUUUGUGCUGAAAAACCCCCACUCGACUUAUACUCGAGUUAAUGUCUGUAUUAUGGCAAUUUACAUUGCCACAAUACAGACCAGGACCGCCGGGCUCAUUACAAGCCCGGCGGUCCUGUUGGGGGCUGACAGUGAGAGGUUACUUACCUUCCUGCAGCGCCUGUCAGCUCCCUCCUCCUCCGUGCAGCUCCUCUGUCAGCUCCCAC